This 193-nucleotide ribozyme is filed under the name Anopheles gambiae (African malaria mosquito). Its description in RNAcentral is "drz-agam-2-2 ribozyme". It matches the Rfam family "drz-agam-2-2 ribozyme". Lineage: Eukaryota; Metazoa; Arthropoda; Insecta; Diptera; Culicidae. The record is from Rfam by way of RNAcentral.
AUUAUUUAUGAUACUCUGCAAUGGGAUGGGAUCCGAAGCCCCCUCGAGGGUUAAUACAGGCUCUCCCAUCUCCUAUUCCGACACGUCCUCGCCGUGCAGAGUGGUAACGUGUGUCACCACAUAUCCAAGCUUGGGUACACGGGCUUGAUCCAACCCCUUGGGCGGAUGGUGGCAUAUGGCAAACCAGGAGGGA